GUCCUCACAUUGGAGAUAUUCGAUAAAAUUGGAACGAUAUAGAGAAGAUUAGCAUGGCUCCUGCGCAAGGAUGUCAUGCACAAAUUGAGAUAUGGUCCAAAAUUUU
Phoenix dactylifera (date palm) is the source of this 106-nucleotide small nuclear RNA. The record is from RefSeq and is a predicted model, not a curated record. Lineage: Eukaryota; Viridiplantae; Streptophyta; Magnoliopsida; Arecales; Arecaceae.